GACGCAGUAGGAUAGGCGAAGCGUGCUGUUGGAGUGCACGUCCAAGCAGUGAGAUUGAGUGUUAGGCAAAUCCGGCACUCUUAAGAUUGAGCUGUGAUGGGGAGAGGAACUUGUUCCUCGAGUCGUUGAUUUCACACUGCCGAGAAAAGCCUCUAGCUAGAAUAACGGUGCCCGUACCGCAAACCGACACAGGUAGUCAAGAUGAGAAUUCUAAGGUGAGCGAGCGAACUCUCGUUAAGGAACUCGGCAAAAUGACCCCGUAACUUCGGGAGAAGGGGUGCUCUUUGAGGUUCACGCUUCGAAGAGCCGCAGUGAAUAGGCCCAAGCGACUGUUUAUCAAAAACACAGGUCUCUGCUAAACCGUAAGGUGACGUAUAGGGGCUGACGCCUGCCCGGUGCUGGAAGGUUAAGAGGAGUGGUUAGCGCAAGCGAAGCUACGAAUCGAAGCCCCAGUAAACGGCGGCCGUAACUAUAACGGUCCUAAGGUAGCGAAAUUCCUUGUCGGGUAAGUUCCGACCCGCACGAAAGGCGUAACGAUUUGGGCACUGUCUCAACGAGAGACUCGGUGAAAUCAUAGUACCGGUGAAGAUGCCGGUUACCCGCGACAGGACGGAAAGACCCCGUGGAGCUUU
Molecule: ribosomal RNA, 632 nt
Filed under: Staphylococcus pseudintermedius
Lineage: Bacteria; Bacillati; Bacillota; Bacilli; Caryophanales; Staphylococcaceae
Description: partial 23S ribosomal RNA
Rfam family: Bacterial large subunit ribosomal RNA
Source: RNAcentral